CAUGGAUACAUUGCCCAGGGACUGAGUGAUGGGGGAUCUCCAGCAUGAAAAAAAUUUUAAAGCAUUGGCAUGGGGGGCUCUUGCGGAAGCAUCAGAUUGCAGGUGUCAAGGAGGCAUAUGACUAGAACACAAGGUAAUAUAUAGGCAGGAACAGUAGCAACCAGAAGCCAGGGAGAAAAGCAGUCAGACCAGCCAUAGAGAGCAGCCAUCUACAGCCAAUUGUCAGGAGCCAGCCACAGGGAGCUGCCGCAGCAUUCUACGACCGAAAACACUCACUACCCUGUAGUGAGGCUUCCUGCCAUCUGUUGAUAACAGUUUUCCUCUGGCAUUUCAAGCCCCUCGCAGUCUGGCUCCAGCCUAUCUUUCCAAGCCUAUUCUCCCUCUCACAUAUGUGAUAGUCCCAGUAUGCGACAUUCCACCUCUGUGAUGAAAAUACAUUUUUUAAAAUUACAAAGUAAGUUUGUGGGUAGGGGAGGUACUAAUAACUGGGGGAAGUCAGGAAGGACUUUGGAUUCUGAAGGGAGCUAGGAAUUGCAAGAAGCAG
This 544-nucleotide long non-coding RNA is filed under the name Phascolarctos cinereus (koala). Its description in RNAcentral is "lncRNA (ENSPCIG00000030787.1)". The record is from RNAcentral. Lineage: Eukaryota; Metazoa; Chordata; Mammalia; Diprotodontia; Phascolarctidae.